UGGAGCUAUCAAGCCAGUAGCAACUCUGCAGU
RNAcentral lists this non-coding RNA (32 nucleotides) under Homo sapiens (human). Lineage: Eukaryota; Metazoa; Chordata; Mammalia; Primates; Hominidae. The record is from RNAcentral.